Clupea harengus (Atlantic herring) is the source of this 1334-nucleotide long non-coding RNA. Lineage: Eukaryota; Metazoa; Chordata; Actinopteri; Clupeiformes; Clupeidae. The record is from Ensembl.
GAUUGCACGCUCCUUUUGUAAAAUGCCAUGCUCGGUAGGUUUUCUAGCUAUUUUGUUUUUUUGUUGUUUUUUUUAUUGUCAAAAGUGUUUUUUUUAUUUUUUUUUCUGUAUACCAGUCAUCUUCAUAGAUUCCUUGACCAAAAUGGAGUUUAAGGUUAGUAGCCGACUCUGGAAGGCUUCCGGUUCCGGAGCCCAGUGUGGGAGAUUCCAAGUAUGUGGUUUAGCGACUAACUAGGGUGAGUUAACUCAGUAAGAGCCCUGUGGCUUUGUUUUGCUAGGGGAAGGAACCCAUUAGGAGGCUUACCACUUACUCUGAGUGAACUUAUCCGGGUUAGUCAAUAAACCACAUUCUUGGAGUCCCCCUCUGAUCAGGGCCAGAGCUGUGGUCGGUGUCCUAUCGUUACCCAUAGUUACCUGGAGCUGUUUUCACACGGAGUAGGUAGUGCUCUCCUCUUCUUCCUUUUGUUUUCGUGUUGCAAUGCAAUCUAUUUUCCUCACGGCAAUAACGUUAGGCAGUGUUUUCGCUGUUUGAUUUCUUCUGUUUCCUGUAGUGUGGCAGAGAGCUUGACCUGCUGUCUACUUAGAUCCCCUGUGAUACCAUCAACCUGUCUGGUGUCAGUGAGAGUUGGGGCAAAAAUGGCCCCUAUUUUUAAAGUAGUUGGGGGGGGGGGGGGGGGUAGCCCUUGUAACGACCCCCUUUCUUACUAAGCGACAUGUCCUCUAUUGUUCAGUAUUCUCUCUGGCCAAUCUGGACUAAUUAGGUUCGAGUAACUUACGGCUUGUGGUGUAGUGUCCUUACAGACGUUUAGGAACAACCCAAUGCCCCUGAAAAUCAGACACCAAGGUGAUCAAUUACUCCCUGAUAGAAAAGUACAUUUUCUUUACCUCCUUCUUGACCAUCCUACCGGGAUAGUUCUGUGUAUGUAUGGUAAGACCAGAUGCUAUUUCACUGAUUUAACAUGCCUGACUUUAAGAGCCGUGUUAAUGGAUCUUGCAUCACAUACACAACCUACUUACGGCAAAUGUAGAUUUCCGUGAUUGUGUUUUUUUGUAUGAUUAUUAUUAUUGCAAGGGGUUAUGAAUGAAAAAUAAUGUUUUUUUGUUUUGUUUUUCUUAAGUAAUAAGUCAGGACAUGUUUGUGCUUCUGAAUGUCAUGUGUUUAUAACACUUUUCAUAAAGGUGCUCUAGUCUAAAUUAUCCCACGAGGAGACCUUUUUCACUUGUCUAUUCCGUUUUUGUGUGUUUGUAUGGAGACGUUAUUCAGAACCUCCUUCUCAAGCUUUGAUUAGCAGAGGAGACAUGGCAAGGUUUUGUAAAGACAAAAAAAUAAAGAC